UAACAACGGGGGAAUAACCCGUUGAAAAACCGGACUAAUACCCCAUAAAACAGGGAUCCCGCAUGGGAAUAUUUGUUAAAGAUUUAUCGGUUGUAGAUGGGCAUGCGUUCCAUUAGCUAGUUGGUGAGGUAACGGCUCACCAAGGCAACGAUGGAUAGGGGAACUGAGAGGUUUAUCCCCCACACUGGUACUGAGACACGGACCAGACUCCUACGGGAGGCAGCAGUGAGGAAUAUUGGUCAAUGGGCGCAAGCCUGAACCAGCCACGUCGCGUGAAGGAAGACGGCCCUACGGGUUGUAAACUUCUUUUGUAAGGGAAUAAAGUGUAGUACGUGUACUAUUUUGCAUGUACCUUACGAAUAAGGAUCGGCUAACUCCGUGCCAGCAGCCGC
This 392-nucleotide ribosomal RNA is filed under the name uncultured bacterium. RNAcentral describes it as "bacterial SSU rRNA". It matches the Rfam family "Bacterial small subunit ribosomal RNA", at positions 130 to 518 of the family's 1533-position model. The record is from RNAcentral.